GAGCUUGCUCCCUGAUGUUAGCGGCGGACGGGUGAGUAACACGUGGGUAACCUGCCUGUAAGACUGGGAUAACUCCGGGAAACCGGGGCUAAUACCGGAUGGUUGUUUGAACCGCAUGGUUCAGACAUAAAAGGUGGCUUCGGCUACCACUUACAGAUGGACCCGCGGCGCAUUAGCUAGUUGGUGAGGUAACGGCUCACCAAGGCGACGAUGCGUAGCCGACCUGAGAGGGUGAUCGGCCACACUGGGACUGAGACACGGCCCAGACUCCUACGGGAGGCAGCAGUAGGGAAUCUUCCGCAAUGGACGAAAGUCUGACGGAGCAACGCCGCGUGAGUGAUGAAGGUUUUCGGAUCGUAAAGCUCUGUUGUUAGGGAAGAACAAGUGCCGUUCAAAUAGGGCGGCACCUUGACGGUACCUAACCAGAAAGCCACGGCUAACUACGUGCCAGCAGCCGCGGUAAUACGUAGGUGGCAAGCGUUGUCCGGAAUUAUUGGGCGUAAAGGGCUCGCAGGCGGUUUCUUAAGUCUGAUGUGAAAGCCCCCGGCUCAACCGGGGAGGGUCAUUGGAAACUGGGGAACUUGAGUGCAGAAGAGGAGAGUGGAAUUCCACGUGUAGCGGUGAAAUGCGUAGAGAUGUGGAGGAACACCAGUGGCGAAGGCGACUCUCUGGUCUGUAACUGACGCUGAGGAGCGAAAGCGUGGGGAGCGAACAGGAUUAGAUACCCUGGUAGUCCACGCCGUAAACGAUGAGUGCUAAGUGUUAGGGGGUUUCCGCCCCUUAGUGCUGCAGCUAACGC
Molecule: ribosomal RNA, 799 nt
Filed under: Bacillus amyloliquefaciens
Lineage: Bacteria; Bacillati; Bacillota; Bacilli; Caryophanales; Bacillaceae
Description: bacterial SSU rRNA
Rfam family: Bacterial small subunit ribosomal RNA
Source: RNAcentral